RNAcentral lists this ribosomal RNA (494 nucleotides) under Escherichia coli. Its description in RNAcentral is "partial 23S ribosomal RNA". It matches the Rfam family "Bacterial large subunit ribosomal RNA", at positions 1 to 534 of the family's 2925-position model. The record is from RNAcentral. Lineage: Bacteria; Pseudomonadati; Pseudomonadota; Gammaproteobacteria; Enterobacterales; Enterobacteriaceae.
GGUUAAGCGACUAAGCGUACACGGUGGAUGCCCUGGCAGUCAGAGGCGAUGAAGGACGUGCUAAUCUGCGAUAAGCGUCGGUAAGGUGAUAUGAACCGUUAUAACCGGCGAUUUCCGAAUGGGGAAACCCAGUGUGAUUCGUCACACUAUCAUUAACUGAAUCCAUAGGUUAAUGAGGCGAACCGGGGGAACUGAAACAUCUAAGUACCCCGAGGAAAAGAAAUCAACCGAGAUUCCCCCAGUAGCGGCGAGCGAACGGGGAGCAGCCCAGAGCCUGAAUCAGUGUGUGUGUUAGUGGAAGCGUCUGGAAAGGCGUGCGAUACAGGGUGACAGCCCCGUACACAAAAAUGCACAUACUGUGAGCUCGAUGAGUAGGGCGGGACACGUGGUAUCCUGUCUGAAUAUGGGGGGACCAUCCUCCAAGGCUAAAUACUCCUGACUGACCGAUAGUGAACCAGUACCGUGAGGGAAAGGCGAAAAGAACCCCGGCGAGG